UUUAGUUAUAACACAACAACACCUAAUUAUUAAAAGCUAUAACCUCUAAAUUUAAAGGAUUUGGCGGUAAUCUAGUCCAGUUAGAGGAACCUGUUUAAGAAACGAUACACCACGCAACAUCUUACCUAACCUAAAAGUUUGUAUACCGUCAUUCUCAGAUAACUCUAAAAAGAUAAAGUUAUUCUCAUAGGGAUUUUCCUAGUAUAUUAGAUCAAGGUGCAGCCUAUGGAUAGGAUAUAAUGGGUUACAAUAAAAUCUUAUAUUAUUACGGACAGAAAGCAAAAAUGCUCUCUCGAAGGAGGAUUUAAUAGUAAAUUUAGUUUAAUAAGCUAACUUGAUAUUGGAUCUAGAUUGAGUACAUAUCGCCCGUCGCUUUCAUUUCCAAAUGAAAUAAGUCGUAACAUAG
This 406-nucleotide ribosomal RNA is filed under the name Callichirus sp. ULLZ 5773. RNAcentral's name for it is "partial 12S ribosomal RNA". It matches the Rfam family "Microsporidia small subunit ribosomal RNA", at positions 752 to 1279 of the family's 1311-position model. Lineage: Eukaryota; Metazoa; Arthropoda; Malacostraca; Decapoda; Callianassidae. The record is from RNAcentral.